CAAGAGUAUUUCAGUUUGGCUUUAUGCCCUCUGAAAAAUCUCCACCCUUUGUUUACAUUACCUUUGUUGUUGCCUCGGUGGGUGCUUUAUAAGCACCUGCCGGCAGGACACCUUCAAAAACCCUUGGUUUAAUACUAUAGUCAGAGCUGUAACAAGCAAAAGAUUAAUAAAUCAA
Molecule: unclassified non-coding RNA, 175 nt
Filed under: soil metagenome
Description: partial internal transcribed spacer 1
Source: RNAcentral